UAUCACAUUUGUCCUCCGAUGGAACCUUUUUACAAGUAUAAAUGGCCUGUAGCAAGUCAACUUUGUUUGUUUAUUAAUUAAUUGGGUGUCGUGCGCCCAACGAACACGUUUACCUCAACUACUCCACAUCGCUGGAUCUAAAAGGCUCCUGCUGCUGCUGGAUGAGACUCUCAUAGUCAUCGCCAAGGAGCAAACAAGGGGAUCGAUCAUCGCGCGCCUUCCAUCUUCUUCCUGCAGCUUAUCUCUGUGUCACGAAGAAGAAGAUCAUCGAUCGUCUCAGAUAAGCCUGGUGGGAGAAAACAGCAGCAUGGACUUUAAACUCCAGUUGCUUGAAGCUAUUACAGACAACUUUUCAGAGGAACAGAAGCUUGGCAGCGGCGAUUAUGGAGAAGUUUACAGGGCGGUGCUUGAUAACGGGGAAUAUAUUGCUCUGAAGAAGCUUCAUCAAUUACAAGGACUUGAUGAUAAGCAAUUUCGCAGUGGAUUCCGUGACCUUGUCAGGGUCUCUCACAAAAAUGUUGUACGCUUAAUUGGCUACUGCCACGAAUCUCGGAAGAAAUACGUUGAGCACAAGGGGGAACUUACUUUGGCUAAAAUAACUGAGAGAGUUCUCUGCUUCGAGUAUAUGCAUGGCGGGAGCUUCGAUAAACAUAUUGCAGAUGAAUCUUGUGAACUUGAUUGGCCCAUUUGUUACAAAAUCAUUAAAGGGACGUGCGAGGGGUUAAAUCACCUUCACACCAAGCAGGAAAAGCCUAUUUUCCAUCUGGAUUUAAAGCCUUCUAACAUAUUGCUGGAUGAGAGCAUGACGCCCAAAAUUUCAGAUCUUGGUCUGUCCAUACUUGUUUCUUCGACAAAAACGCACGAAACAGAGAUACUCAGAGGCACACAAGGGUACAUGCCGCCAGAAUACAGAGAUAGUGGCUUGGUAUCAAACAAGUUUGACGUGUUCAGUUUGGGCAUCAUAAUUAUAAAAACAGUGGCUGGAAAUAUGGGCUACUUCCGUUAUUCUGAAAUGUCUCAUAAAGAUUUUAUUGAGUUUGUAAGUGAAAAUUGGAUGAAGAGGUGGCAGGCAAUGCCGGGUUACUAUUCAUCACAUGAAAUAGACAUCCUAACAGUGAUUACAUGUAUUGAGACCGCAUUAAGAUGUGUCGAUACCGACCAAAAAAAGAGGCCCUGCAUAGAGGAUAUUGUCCAUGAACUGGACGAACUAGAAGCUGAGAUUAAGAAAAUAAGGUUACUAGCUCCUGAUCCUAUGCAGAUUCUCUUGAGUAAUCAAGGCCCUGGCAUGGAGUUUCCAAAAAUUUCCAGGCUAUGUACGGCCCAUAACUUGGCCCACUAUAAGCGCAUCCUGGAUUUUAAAUUCGGUUUGAUUGAAGCUAUUACAAACGGUUUUUCAGAUGAUCAGAAAAUUGGGAGUGAUGGGUAUGGAGAUGUUUACAGGGCAUUGUACAAUGGGGAAGAGAUUCUUGUGAAGAAGCUUCAUUCCUUGGAGGGACUUGAUGACAAAGAAUUUGAGAAUGAAAUGCAUAUCCUUACCAAGGUCCAUCACAAAAAUGUUGGUCGUUUAAUUGGCUACUGCUACAAAACUUGCCUUAUAAAUGUUGAGCGCAAUGCGGAACAUGCUUCCUCAGUGGCAACGGAGCGAGUUCUAUGCUUUGAAUAUACACAAAGUGGAAGCCUUGAUAAACAUAUUGCAGAUGAACCAGCUUGCCGACUUGAUUGGUCCACACUUUACAAAAUUAUUAAAGGGACUUGUGAGGGCUUAAAUCACCUUCUCAGUGCACAUCAAAAACCUAUUCUCCAUCUAGACUUGACACCGGCUAACAUUUUUCUGGUUAAGGGCAAGACACCUAAAAUUAUAGGUUUUGGUUUGUGGAGACUUAUUGAUUCGACAAAAAUGCAUCAAACAAAGAUCUUCAAAGAAACACACGGGUACAUGCCACCAGAAUAUGUCGACACUGGCUUUAUAUCAAACAAGUUUGACGUGUUCAGUUUGGGUGCCAUAAUUAUAAAGCUGAUGGCCGGAAAUAUGGGCUACUCUCGUUGUUUCGAAAUGUCCCCCAAAGAUUUUAUUCAACAUGUUAGUGACAAUUGCACGAAAAGGUUGCAUGCAAUGCCAGGAUAUUCACCAUAUGAAAUAGACAUCCUACGAGUGAGUACAUGUGUUGAGAUUGCAUUAAGAUGUGUGGACGAAGACCGAGAGAAAAGGCCCUGUAUAGAAGACAUUGUCCAUAAACUGGGGGAACUAGAAGCUAGGGUUAAGACAAUAAUGUUACUACCUCAUGAUCAUAGGCAAAGCCUCUUGACUGACCUGGACCCUGGCUUGUACUCUCCAAAAGAAAGCAGGCUAUAUAUGUCCCAUAAGUUGGCCCAAGAUGGAGCUGUUACAGGGUAUAAAUCAAAUUGGUCCAGGAUUGAUUCUCAGUCUGGCGCCACCAGCACUGCUCAUGGUCAGUCAAAAGACCUAAGUCUCCAGACGGGGUCUAUUCCACAAUAUAUGUCCUUACAACAUCUAAGAGACAUCACAAACAACUUCUCUGAUGAGCGAAUAAUUGGUAGAGGUGGUUUCUAUGUGGUAUAUAAGGGAGUGCAACAAAAUGCGAAAAUGGUUGCAGUGAAGAAGCUUGUGCAUCCAACGGUGAGCACACAGGUGGAAUUUGAGAAGGAGGUUAAACUCCUUAUGAAACUAAAGCACCCAAAUAUAGUGCAACAAGUAGGCUACUGCUAUGAAACACAGAAUCUGUAUAUGGUUCAUGAAGGAAAAUGCAUUUUUGCUGAGUAUACUCACACUUUGCUUUGCUUAGAACUUCUGAAGAACGGAAGUCUUGAUAAGUAUAUUUCAGCUGCAUGUUCUGGACUUGAUUGGCACGGACGCUGCAAAAUAAUUGAGGGGGUUUCCUAUGGUCUAGAGUACCUUCAUGAGCAAUCUAAAGAACCCAUUCUUCACUUGGACCUAAAACCUGCGAACAUAUUGCUUGAUGUCAAUAUGCUGCCAAAAAUUACAGAUUUUGGUCUGUCAAGACUAUUUGAUCAAAGCCGAACUAUUCAGACUGCAAAUACUAGUGGAACACUAGGUUACAUGGCGCCAGAAUACCUGCGAGGUAUAAUCACACCUAUGUCAGACAUAUUCAGUUUGGGUGUUAUAAUCUUGGAGGUAAUAACAGGGCACAGGGACUACCCAUAUGAUAUUAGAUCAUCUUCCAAGGAAUUCAUCGAGCACGAGCUUCAAAACUGGAGAAAUAGGCUGCAAAAAGAACCAGGGUCUAGAUCGCUAGAAACAGAUUGCCAACAAAUAAAAAAAUGCAUUCAGAUAGGUCUAAUCUGCGUGAAUCCUGAGCGGACCAAAAGACCUACAAUGAAGAAAAUUAUUGAUAUGCUUGAAGGCUUGGAAAGUACGGAUUGGUACAUUAACAAUCAGUUAUCAAGCCAUGAAAUCCAAGAGGAGCUAUAGCUAUUGAAGGAGGUCGUCAUGCAUCCACUGCGGCUUCCAUCUUCUUGGUAUGCCACUUCACUGUGUUCGUUCGACAGGGUGUUGGAUCUCCGUUCGUGCUACAUGCAAUUGUCGUUUAUGUUUGACAGCUGGCUAUGCAAGGCUGUCGCCGCUCGCUGCUCUUUUGUGAACGUCUGUAACACUGAGAAUGCUGAAGCCUGUGUGGUAAGGUAUGCUGUACUUUUAGCGAAAUAUUGAGGAUUUGGUAAGGUAUGCUUCAGACUGUCUUUCUUCUUUGGUUAACAAGCUGAACUCAUCAUUGUGCAACUCCAUGACAUCAAAUUGAAGGCUGAAACUCUGAGUUCUUUUUCUUUUACCCGUGAUAUAUCGCUCAGUCUGCGAUACAUGAUGCGGGCCUUGUGUGCGUUGGUAAGGCGCCGGAGCUGUUCCGUGCCCUCCUCUCUACCGAACAAGCUUUGUUGCAUCAAUAGAACGCUGGUGAUUAUAUGAGCAAAACUCUGUUUAAUUCAACCUCUUCAGAAUUGGAGUUAUCGAGAUUCUUUCGAUUCUUGCGUCUGCUCUAAUUCUUUGCUGAACCGCGCAAACAAACAACAAAUUCAUCUCGAUGCCCAACCAUUUUACUUUAUCUUUCAAGAGCUGGCAAAUGUAUAUGAGCAGAGAGGGUUUGAGCUUCUAUCAGUACAGAUUUUUUUUUUGGCAUAAAAAUGCUCCUCACUAUAUUUAAUUAAAUACCUGGGAAAGUCAAUUCGUUCGUAAUGGACUUGUAGGCUGUAGCGCCAGGGCUCGUAACUUCUUUUGUGGAAAUGACCUGAAUUAACUAAAAAGUAAACAAAACUGAAGAAAUUGAACCAUACACGGACAAGAAAGGCCUCUGAUAUAACCUCAAAUUUCUUCAAACAUUGGUUGUCACAGACAAAAAAAAGACCCUUGUUUACAGUUAAUUUUAGAUCGUCUGGUUUGGUUUUGGCGCGGCACCUUCUGAACAUGACAGCGUCAGUAGCUGUCCUUGGCAUUUGAAGAAACGGCAUCGCCGCCGAGCAGUGCAGCCCACCCACCAAUGAUGUUCUCAUCAGGGGGCGCAGACCCGUUUACGACCAGGCCCCGCCGUCAUCACCCUCAUCCUCCUCAUCUUUUAAGUGUUGUUGACGCACUGAACCUGGUGAUCAGCAAAUAUGCUGCGGGGCAACCCCAGGAUUUUAGUAGGUAUUCGCCCAAGCAAACCACAAAUUUGUCGCAAUGCCAAACCAAAAUGGGAUAAGAUGGCCUGUAGCAAAAUUUAUGCAGAUGUUUUGUAUGGCUAGAUUUGAUAGCUUUACUCCCUAUAAGAGAGGAACAUACUAACUCACUCCAGGAUUAGGAUACAGUGAGGUUAAACAGACACCAGAGGAUUGCAGAUUCUGAGCGAGAUAGCAUCCCACUACGAUCUACUAAUAAUCUGCAGGUGAUGACGGCACUCGCUAAUGAUGGUGCUGAAGAGAUCCCGCGUAUUGCUGGGCCAAAGAAGCCUCCGUUGCUGCAGGAAAAUCAAUACAUGAAACAUAACGUCAGUCAACUGGAUGUUGCAAAGAGCCCACCAAACCACUGUAAUCCCAAAACAAAGAUAAUUGAUGCUCCCAGUCGGCUCAGAUUUCAGCCAUGUAAUCAUGUCUUGGACUGAUAGAGGGAGCCGAUUCCAAUCCAAAACCUCCCGAACAAAAAGAGCAGGCAAAGAUAGCAAUGGGACAGCAAAACAAAACAUGAUCAGUUGUUUCGGUUUCCCCGCACAGGGGGUAAUUGCUAUCUGUAGCCCAAUGUCUAUGAAGUAUUUGUUCUCUUGUAAGGAUUCUAUUCUAUGAUGGACAACCUGUCAUGUUAAAACCCAGAUCUUCAAAGGAAUUUUUAGCUUCCAGAGUUGAACCAAAUAUUGGGGUUUGGACUCCCAGAUGGGAAAGCCAACCAUACAUAGAUUUUAUUACCGUGUUUGUAAUCAAGUUGCACAUCAUAUCGGCCUUGUGUGCGUCAGUAAGGCGCCGGAGCUGUUCCGUGUCCUCCUCUCUACUGAACAAGCUUUGUUGCAUUAAUAGAAUGCUGGUGAUUAUAUGAGCAAAACCCUGUUUAAUUAAACCUCUUCAGAAUUGGAGUUACGAGAUUGUUUCGAUUCUUUGCUGAACCGCGCAAACAAACAACAAAUUCAUCUCCAUGCCAAACCGUUUUACGUCAUCUUUCAAGAGCUAGCAAAUGUAUACCAGCAGAGAGAGUUUGAGCUUUCGUCACUCAUGUUCUAUCACUACAGAUGUUUUUUUUUUGCACAAAAAAUGCUCCUGACUAUAUGUCCCUAUGACAUGGUGUUUUUUUAAUAGUACAUCUUAGUAUAUGUUAGAAUGUAGGUACAUUAUUCAUUAGAUUAAAUAACUGGAAGAGUCAAUUCGUUUGAAAAGGACUCGUAGGCUGUAGCAAGGGCUCAUAAGUUCUUUUGGUGAAAUGACCUGACUUUAUUAGUUAAAUAAACAAACUAAACUGGACUGAAGAAAUUGAACCAUACACAGACAAGAAAGAUCUCUGAUAUAACCUCAAAUUUCUUCAAACAUUGGUUGUCACAGACAAAAAAUAGAUCGUCUGGUUUGGUUUUGGUGCCUCGCCUUCUGAACAUGACAGCGUCAGUAGCUUUUCCCUGGCAUUUGCCGAAACAUUUUCGUUCAGCUGCAACAAUUUAAUACUGAAACCUUUUUUCUCACCGUGGAUCAGCAGCCCAAAACCCAGUUGGGAUCCAGCGUCGCCACCGACCAGUGCCGCCUACCCACGAAUGGCGUGUUCUCAUCAGGGAGCGCAGAUUCGUCUACAACCAAGCCCACCGUCAUCAACCUCACCCUCCUUGUCUAUCAGGUGUUGUCAACUGAACCUGGUGAUCAGCAAAAUAUGCUGCGGGUCAACCCCAGGAUUUCGGAUGGUACUCGGCCAAACAAGCCACAAAUUCGUCUCAGUGCCAACUAAACUGAGAUAAGAUGUCAUGUAGCAAAAUUUAUGAAGAUGUUUUGUAUGACUUGAAGAUUUGAUAGGUCAGCAUAGACUUUUAAGAGGUAUUCCAUUUUUCACCGGGAUAGGAGAACCUAGAGACAGCUUACUUCUUCCCAGUUUUCCAUCAUUAGAGCAAAGGUAACAAAGUUUACUGGGGGUACCAGUUAAUCAUAGGAAUAAUCAGAGUGAAGAGAACAUGGUGCAAGACUCCACAAUUACAGAGAAACAUACUAACUCACUCCAGGAUCAGGAUGCGGUGAGGUUAAACAGACAUCAGGGGAUUACGGAAUCUGAGCAACAUAGCAUCCCACUAAUUAAGAUCUACUAAUAAUCUGCAGGCGGCACUCGCUAAUGAUGGUGCUGAAGAGAUCCUGCGUCUUGCCUGGCCAAAGAAGCCUCCAUUGCUGCAGGAAAAGCAAUGCGCAAAACAUAGCGUCAGUUGGAUUCAUGAUGGGACAGCAAAACAUAGACAUGGGACAUCUAUAGGCCCAUGUCUAUGAAGUAUUUGUUCUGUUGUUGGGAUUUCCUAACAAACUUUUAGCUUCCAGAACUUGACCAAAUAUGGGGUUUGGACUCCCAUUACAGCGAUAAACAAAUUUUGUGCUAU
This is an RNA transcript of Aegilops tauschii subsp. strangulata, 7052 nucleotides long. RefSeq lists it as uncharacterized. Lineage: Eukaryota; Viridiplantae; Streptophyta; Magnoliopsida; Poales; Poaceae. The record is from RefSeq and is a predicted model, not a curated record.